GACGAACGCUGGCGGCGUGCUUAACACAUGCAAGUCGAACGGAAAGGCCCCCUUGUGGGGUACUCGAGUGGCGAACGGGUGAGUAACGCGUGAGUAACCUACCCUUGACUUUGGGAUAACUUCAGGAAACUGGGGCUAAUACCGGAUAGGAGCUCCUGCUGCAUGGUGGGGGUUGGAAAGUUUGGGCGGUUGGGGUUGGACUGGCGGCUUAUCAGCUUGUUGGUGGGGUAGUGGCUCACAAGGCUUUGACGGGUAGCCGGCCUGAGGGGGUGACCGGCCACAUUGGGACUGAGAUACGGCCCAGACUCCUACGGGAGGCAGCAGUGGGGAAUAUUGCACAAUGGGGGGAAGCCUGAUGCAGCAACGCCGCGUGCGGGAUGACGGCCUUCGGGUUGUAAACCGCUUUCGCCUGUGACGAAGCGUGAGUGACGGUAAUGGGUAAAGAAGCACCGGCUAACUACG
RNAcentral lists this ribosomal RNA (462 nucleotides) under uncultured bacterium. RNAcentral describes it as "partial 16S ribosomal RNA". It matches the Rfam family "Bacterial small subunit ribosomal RNA", at positions 28 to 505 of the family's 1533-position model. The record is from RNAcentral.